Long non-coding RNA from Chinchilla lanigera (long-tailed chinchilla), 730 nucleotides. RefSeq lists it as uncharacterized. The record is from RefSeq and is a predicted model, not a curated record. The transcript is spliced from 3 exons. NCBI's taxonomy places the organism in Eukaryota, Metazoa, Chordata, Mammalia, Rodentia, Chinchillidae.
CAGGUGUGCGCCACCACACCCAGCCUAGGCCCUACACAAGUCUUUUACUGAAAUGACUGAAGAAAAAACAACUACAUACCAGAAACUGAGGAAUUUUCUCCAAGACAAGAACUGAAAUGAGGAAAAGGACAACUUACAUUCUACCCUCUGCAGGUCCGAUAAGACCAGAGAUACAAUCUUAGCAGCAGUACCCCACUCAUAAAACCCUUAUACUGGAACAACCUGGACAACUGGGACAAGAGCCAAGGUGGCUUGUGAUACAGUUGGAAGGGCUGAUGGAAAGCACAGCAGGCUAUUCUACAGAUUUCGUAUUUGGCGUUCCAAAAGCCAUCUCAGACUUCAAAGCUAUCUAUAGCAGAGCAAUAAAGUAGAAAAGUGUCCUGACCCCAGACCCUAAAAAUGGCCAAACCAGAGAACCUGGCCAUUUGAGAGAAAUAUCUAUCUUAAAUUACUUCUACCUAUCGUGGGAUUUUCUGUUUCUUGCAGAAAGAGACUAUUAUAGGGCUGGAAUAUAGCUCAGUGGCACAGCACCUGCCUGGCAACCACAAGGUCCUGAGUUCAAUUCUUGAUACCAAAAAGAGAGACAGAGAGACUAUUACAUUUUGCUUAAUGAGUUUAGUUGGUAAAUUGGGAUGGGAAGUAUUUAAUACUGAAAUAACUGAAAGUAUUUUAUUUAAUUAAAAAUAAUGCCGGGCAUGGUGGUGCAUGCAGCACUUGGAGGAUUAGACAG